UCCCCAGGAGCUGGGGAUUCAGUGAUGAGCCAGAUCAACCAAGCCCCUGUCCUCUUCAGCUUAUGUCCUGAGAUGGGGAAUAGAUGGUGAAUAGGUAAACAAGCGGGCAUGAAAUGGCACAUAGGGAUAAGGGCAAUAAUGAACGAGUGGUGUUGGGGGAGGGAAGAUGGAUGGGGAGGGGGCAGUGUAGUUUAGAAGUGUCAGGAGACUUCUCUGAGGAGGUACCAUUUGAAGAGGCAAAUGAUUAAAAGAAGAGAGUCCUAUCAGACAGAGGGAAUAGCAGGUACAAAGGGCCUGUGGCAGGAAGGAGCUGGAUACAUUCGAGAAACAAAGCCAGUGAGGAAGUGAGUGAGGAAGAGAACAGGGAGAUGAGGUCAGAGAACCCCAGAGGUGAGGUCUGCUUCCCUCUCCCCCUUCCUGCCUCUGAGUAAGGAGCACUUGCAGAGCUGCCCCCCAGGCCACCACAGGGGUGCUGCUCUGCCAUUGUUACUCCUGCCUUGUGACCUCAGCCCCACCCAGCCCGGCCCCAACCCCCACUUCCCCUUCCAGUUGUGACCCAAGAAGUCAGGAACCACAUCCUUUCCUAAACUGGGUCCCCCCUCCCUGCACCCCUUCUAGGGGGUGGGGCUCAGACUCCCAGCGUUGGACUCUCAGUCUCUGGCUGACUCCUUUGGGCUCCCCAUUUGCCUUCCCCCUCCACCACCCACCACUAGCCCCAGUAGUGUCAGACCCUAGCAGCCUCCUCUCCUUCCCCUUCACCAACCUCCCAGAAGCCAUGGGGUUUCCUCCCCUGCGAAUGCAUCAGCCGUUCCCUAAACUCAGAACACCCUUUCUUCCCUCCUCCCUCUGACCAAAUCUCAGCUGUUCCCUCCUCCUGGAAGUCCCUGCGUUAUGAGCAGCAGAUGGGUCUUGCUCAUCUCUAUCCCCCAGGGCCAGGCAGAGGCCUUUGCACCCAGAAGGAUCUCAGUGGAUGGGCGAAUGAAUGAAGAAUUAGUUGGAUCCAAUCAGCCCAUUGUCCACCGGCCUGUGUGGCAAACACCCUGCUGGGCCCAGAAGCUGGGGAUGACACAGCCACUCGCAUCCCUGUGCAAAGAGCUCUUUCCCCAAGUCCAGGAGUCUGAAGCAGGUCUGGGCUCUGCACUAAUUUGCUGUGUGACCUUGGGAAGCCACUGACCUGUGCUGAGCUUCUCAUUUGGCAAAACAGCAUCUGGAAGAGGCUAAAUGAUCUCAGAGCAUCAUGGUCACAAGUGUGGACUCGGGGCCAGAUGGCCUGGGCUCAAAUCCUGGUCCUGCCACCUUGCCAACUGUGUGACCUUGGGUGAGAUUUUUAACCUCUCUGAGCCUCCGAUCCCCCAUCUGUAAGUGCUGCAGAGCAUUAGGGCCCAUCUCACAAAACAGUUGUGAAGAUUCAUGUUUGCAAUGACUCCGUGGAAAGCCCAGCCUGGGGGACGUAACCGUAUGGCUAAUUAGAUCAUAAUUAGGUCUGAGGUCUGCGAUGUGCAUCUUAUGGGGACAUGACCGGUUCAUGUGAACACAUCUACUAUGCAUCAGAGCAGAAGGCCGGGAAUGUCCAGGUCUGAGGUUUGGAGGGUCCUUGAGGCACCAGCACAGGGCGGCUGUCACCCCCAGGCUGGGAGAGUGGUGUGCACUCCUCCAGGCUGCGUGCACACGGGGGCUCUUUCCGGUGUACACACUACCUGCCCUGAAGCAGCUCACCCUUCCCCCAAUGCUAGACCCUCUCAGGAGUCAAAUGCAACAGAGGAGGCCGAGGGAAACUGAGGACAAUCCCAUCACGGCCGACUGAGCUUCCGGAGACCAGCCAGUGAAUGUCCUUCCACCCCCCACUCUCCUGGGAAAUGAUGACAAGGAAUGAGGUCAGAGGUCACCCAUGGGACAUUCUGGGGACCCCAGGCUAUCAGGAGCUGCCUCUCAGACUACAGGGUCCCUGCUUCUAAGGCCUGGGUUCAAGAGAGAGUUCAAGGAAUUUUAGCGCUGAGUCCAGAGCCCAUGACAGAGGAAGCUGAGGCCAGGAGUGCUGAGUGACUCGCCCAAGGUCACACAGCUGUGGGGGGAAGGGCUGGGACCAGAUCUCAGGCCUCUAACCACCUGCCCCCCAAACCUCCGCAGUGCUUCUCCCCCGCUUGGUGAUACAUUUCUGGAAAUCACCCCAGUUCUACUUUCCAAAAUGAGUCAGGAACAUCUGUACCUCUGGGGGCUGCAAAGACUCCCUGGGGCUCCCUGGCAAGAAUGCUGACAACUUUCUGAGGGGUCUGAAAGCAGAACUGGCCUUCCCAGGAAUUGAGAAGAAAGGUAUCAUUUCUGUUCAUUUGGUGAGAAUUCCAGAAAGCCUUACAGGGCCCUGAUGUCCUGUUCUUGCCCCACUCAUGUGAUAUAGGGGACCAGGCCCUAUUUGACAGGGGAUGCCAUUGAGGUGCCAAAGGGUGGAGAGAUUUGCCCAGGGUCACACAGGCGGCCCUGGUUCUGACACUCAGGCUGCUAACUCCAAGCCCAGAAGCUUCCCUGACACCCAGGAGGCGAGUCUGACCUUCCUUGUCAGAGGCCUGGGCGGAUCUUAGACAGCAUCGACUCCCACCCCUGAGCUCUGAAUUCUUUCUCAUUUUUAAUGCCCUUACUAUAAAAGCAACAAUACAUGUUCACUUGCGAAAAUCUGAAAAAUGCAGAAAAGUCAAAAUAA
This 2695-nucleotide long non-coding RNA is filed under the name Canis lupus familiaris (dog). RNAcentral describes it as "lncRNA (ENSCAFG00845021997.1)". Lineage: Eukaryota; Metazoa; Chordata; Mammalia; Carnivora; Canidae. The record is from RNAcentral.